Molecule: long non-coding RNA, 2127 nt
Organism: Macaca fascicularis (crab-eating macaque)
Lineage: Eukaryota; Metazoa; Chordata; Mammalia; Primates; Cercopithecidae
Source: Ensembl
UUUUUUUGUAUUUUUUUUUUUUUAAGUAGAGAUGGGGUUUCACUGUAUUAGCCAGGAUGGUCUUGAUCUCCUGACCUCAUGAUCCACCCAUCUCAGCCUCCCAAAGUGCUGGGAUUAUAGGCAUGAGCCACCCCGCCCAGCCAAGAUGAGGUUUCAUUAUGUUGGCCAAGCUGGUCUUGAACGCCUGAUAUCCACCUGCCUCAGCCUCCCAAAGUGCUGGGGUUAUAGGUGUUAGCCACCAUACCUAGCCUAGAGGCCAGUAUUUUUUUUUUUUUAAUUAUGGUAUAAUUUUAAACACAUGAACUACUUAUUUAUGCUUUUGAGACAGGGUCUCUCUCUGUUGCCCAGGCUGAAGUGCAGUGGCAUGAUGUCAGCACACUGCAGCUUUGAACUACCAGGCUCAAGUAUCCCCCCCACCUCAGCCUCCCGAGUACCUAGGAUUACAGGCACGUACACGAUGCCCAGCCGGUCUUGCUAUGUUGCCCAGGCUGGCACUUAAACCACUUCUUAGUGUACAAUUCAGGGGCAGUAACUGAAUUCUCAAAUGCUGUUCAACAACCAUCACCACUAUCUAUUUCCAAAACUUUUUUUUUAAACAGAGUUUCACUCUUGUCACCCAGCUGGAGUGCAAGGGUGCAAUCCCAGCUCACUGCAACCUCCGCCUCCCAGGUUCAAGCAAUUCUCCUGUCUCAGCCUCCGAAGUAGCUGGGAUUAUAGGCACCCACCACCACGAGUAGACACGGGGUUUCACCAUGUUGGCCAGACUAGUCUGGAACUCCUGACCUCAAGUGAUCCACCCGCCUCGGCCUCCCAACAUGUUGGGAUUACAGGCAUGAGCCACCGUGCCUGGCCUCCAAAACAUUUUAUCACCCCAAAUAAAAACUCCUUACCCACUAAACAGUAACACCCUCUCCCUCACACCCAGCCCUGGUACCUUAUAAUCUACUUUCUGUCUCCAUGGAUUUACCUAUUCUAGACAUGUCAUACAAAUGGAAUCACACACUAUGUGUCCUUUUUUUUUUUUCCCCUAGUUAGAUGGGGAGUCUCACUCUGUUGCCCAGGCUGGAGUGCAGUGGCACAAUCUCGGCUCACUGGAACCUCUACCUCCCAGGGUCAAGUGAUCCUCCUGUCUCAGCCUCCUGAGUAGCUGGGACUAUAGUCACAUGACCCCACUAAAUUAACUCCUGGCUAAUUUUUUGUAUUUUCGAGACUCUGUCUCAAAAAUAAAUAAAUAAAUAAAUAAAAUAAAAUAAAAUAAACAGCACAGACCCUCAAAAAAUAAAGAUCCCCAUAGGGGAGGACACCUGCCUCCAGACCUCAGUCUCCUCACAUGGGAAAUGGGAAGAUAAUAUCUGCUAGACAGCCCUGAACACCCCCUCUCCAGCCUUGCAGCUCUCUGCCCGCUUCCCCUCUCAUGCCCACUCCUGAUGCCAGCUCCCUCUCCACUGCCCCAGCUUCUUCAGUAAAUCCCCCCCAGUCACCUCCAGCCCCCAUCUGCAUCUCCCCCCACAUCCCUGACAAGACACGGCUGGUGUCACUUUCAGAUCAUUUUACAGCAUGUUACCCCCGAGCCGCCACCAGCCCCCAUCCGCUGACUAGACACAGCUGGUGUCACUUUCAGAUCAUUUUACAGCGUGUUACCCCCCCAGCCGCCACCAGCCCCCAUCCGCAUCUCCCCCCACAUCCCUGACUAGACAUGGCCGGUGUCACUUUCAGAUCGUUUUCCAGCACGUUACCUUGGGGAUGGGGAGUGGCUUUCUCAUUUCAACUUCCUCAUUUCCCCCCCCAACUUCCCAGAACCACAGAAAGGUUCAGGGGAGCCCCAAGCUGAGGAGUACUUCCCUCUCUGGGUCUCCAAGUGCUUUCUUUCACACUGCAACAGGUAUCCUAGCAAGAGGAGCUACUGAGGGGAAGUAAAAAUGGCUGGCUUGGUGUGGUGACUCAUGCCUGUGAUCCCAGUGCUUUGGGAGGCUAAGGUGGGUGGAUCACUUGAGCCCAGGAGUUCAAGGCUGCAGUGAGCUAUGAUGGUGCCACUACACUCCAGCCUGGGCAGCAUGUCUCUAGAAUUUUCUUUUUUUUUUUUGAGACGGAGUCUCGCUCUGUUACCAGGCUAGAGUGCAGUGGUGC